Long non-coding RNA from Poecilia latipinna (sailfin molly), 830 nucleotides. RefSeq lists it as uncharacterized. Lineage: Eukaryota; Metazoa; Chordata; Actinopteri; Cyprinodontiformes; Poeciliidae. The record is from RefSeq and is a predicted model, not a curated record. The transcript has 2 exons.
GAAAGGACUGCAAGCAGAAGGGAAAACACGGGGAAUAUUUCAAAGAAUAACAGUUUUCUUGAAAUGUGAUCAUUCAGAAAUAAGUGAGGUUAAAGUCAUUUAGAAAAUCUGACGUGGCCCAGACAUUCGUCUUCAUCGACAUCCAGGAGUUCCUUAUUGACCGAGGCGGGAACAGUCUUUCUUUUCAGCGGCUCGCGCGACAAACAGCAACAGGUUAAGCAGGUUAAAGCGAAAGCCUCCGUUUUUAAACACAAUUUGUCCGAGUCCAGCGGUGGCUGCAUUUCAUUGGGUCUUCUCCUCAUUGGUAGCACGUGUGUGCUGCAGCGAUUACAAUAGCAAGCUCUGUCUCAGUAGUGUUUAUGACCUUCUUUUAUUUGAUUUAUCUAUUUCCUGUUGUUCCAUCACCGUAAGCCUUUAAAUUAGCUCAGAGGGCCAGUUUGGGAAUGUGAUGCUUGAAAUGUGGCUGGACUGAAGCGUCUGUCAACAAAACACGGCUUUUAUUUUGUCAAAUGUUUGAUUCAGCCUCUUUAUUCGUUGGAGCUUCGGAUCCAUUGAAGGAGAUGUUGGCCUUCAGUAGCAGAGACAGAUGGGACACAUAGACUCUCUCUGACUCCAGCAGCUCCAGCGCGGCCCGUUGUCGCUUAUCUGCACGUAUAAAAACACAACAUCCAACACAAACUGUAACUAUAGUCACAUUUACUCUGUAACCUCGAGGACUUGUUCUGUUUCAGAACGAUGCUACUCAAGAUUCCCAAGUAAGAAGUCUAAAAAUACCAAAUAGAUGGUGAAAUUAUUUGAAAGAAUCUCCUCAUUUUGGUGAGAAAAAAAAA